Molecule: long non-coding RNA, 674 nt
Organism: Oncorhynchus tshawytscha (Chinook salmon)
Lineage: Eukaryota; Metazoa; Chordata; Actinopteri; Salmoniformes; Salmonidae
Source: Ensembl
CAGUGAUGAUGGUGGUGGUGGUGGUCGUGACGAUGAUGAUGAUGAUGAUGGUGAUGGUGGUGAUGAUGGUGGUGAUGAUGGUGGUGGUGGUGAUGGUGGUGGCAGUGAUGAUGGUGGUGGUGGUGAUGGUGGUGGUGGUGAUGGUCGUGAUAGUGGUGGUGAUGGUGGUGGUGGUGAUGGUGUUGAUGAUGGUGGUGGUGGUGAUGGUGGUGAUGAUUGUGGUGGUGAUUGUGGUGAUGGUCGUGAGGAUGAUGAUGGUGAUGGUGGUGAUGAUGGUGAUGGUGGUGGCGGUGAUGAUGGUGGUGGUGGUGAUGGUGGUGGUGGUGAUGGUGAUGGUGGCGGUGGUGAUGGUGUUGAUGGUGAUGGUGGCGGUGGUGAUGGUGUUGAUGGUGAUGGUUGUGAUGGUGAUGGUGAUAGUGGUAAUGGUGAUGGUGGUGAUGGUGAUGGCAGUGAAGAUGGUGGUGAUGGUGAUGGUGAUGGUGAUGGUGGUGAUUGUGAUUGUGAUGGCAGUGGUGAUGGUGUUGAUGGUGAUGGCUGUGAUGGUGAUAGUGGUGAUGGUGAUGGCAGUGAUGAUGGUGGUGAUGGUGGUGGUGGUGAUGGUGAUGGUGGUGAUGGUGAUGAUGGUGGUGAUGGUGAUGGUGAUGGUGAUGGUGGUGAUGGUGGUGGUAUUGGUG